CCCUUAGAUGUUCUGGGCCGCACGCGCGCUACACUGAUGAACGCAACGAGACCACCUGUACCGAAAGGCAUGGGUAAACUUGUGAAAGUUCAUCGUGAUGGGGAUAGAUUAUUGCAAUUAUUAAUCUUCAACGAGGAAUUCCUAGUAAGCGCGAGUCAUCAGCUCGCGCUGAUUACGUCCCUGCCCUUUGUACACACCGCCCGUCGCUCCUACCGAUUGAAUGGUCCGGUGAAAUCUUCGGAUUGCUGGAUAGGACUUCAUUGACCUAUCUGCGAGAAGUUGCUUGAACCUUAUCAUUUAGAGGAAGGAGAANUCGUANCA
RNAcentral lists this ribosomal RNA (321 nucleotides) under uncultured eukaryote. RNAcentral describes it as "partial 18S ribosomal RNA". It matches the Rfam family "Eukaryotic small subunit ribosomal RNA", at positions 1470 to 1796 of the family's 1831-position model. The record is from RNAcentral.